RNAcentral lists this ribosomal RNA (442 nucleotides) under Vibrio sinaloensis. RNAcentral describes it as "bacterial SSU rRNA". It matches the Rfam family "Bacterial small subunit ribosomal RNA", at positions 907 to 1349 of the family's 1533-position model. The record is from RNAcentral. Lineage: Bacteria; Pseudomonadati; Pseudomonadota; Gammaproteobacteria; Vibrionales; Vibrionaceae.
UGAAUUGACGGGGGCCCGCACAAGCGGUGGAGCAUGUGGUUUAAUUCGAUGCAACGCGAAGAACCUUACCUACUCUUGACAUCCAGAGAAGCCAGUAGAGAUACAGGUGUGCCUUCGGGAGCUGUGAGACAGGUGCUGCAUGGCUGUCGUCAGCUCGUGUUGUGAAAUGUUGGGUUAAGUCCCGCAACGAGCGCAACCCUUAUCCUUGUUUGCCAGCACUUCGGGUGGGAACUCCAGGGAGACUGCCGGUGAUAAACCGGAGGAAGGUGGGGACGACGUCAAGUCAUCAUGGCCCUUACGAGUAGGGCUACACACGUGCUACAAUGGCGCAUACAGAGGGCGGCCAACUUGCGAAAGUGAGCGAAUCCCAAAAAGUGCGUCGUAGUCCGGAUUGGAGUCUGCAACUUCAGCCCACACACACGCACGGCCAACUAAGCGGCCU